UACGGGGGGGUGCGAGCGUUGUCCGGAAUCACUGGGCGUAAAGGGCGCGUAGGUGGUUUGAUAAGGGUGUGGUGAAAGUCCGGGGCUCAACCCCGGAUCUGCCGUGCCGACUGUCAAACUCGAGGGCUGUAGAGGCAGACGGAAUUCCGGGUGUAGCGGUGGAAUGCGUAGAGAUCCGGAGGAACCCCAGAGGCGAAGGCGGCGCUCUGGCUCGCAACUGACGCUCAGACACGACAGCGUGGGGAGCGAACAGG
This 254-nucleotide ribosomal RNA is filed under the name uncultured bacterium. RNAcentral's name for it is "partial 16S ribosomal RNA". It matches the Rfam family "Bacterial small subunit ribosomal RNA", at positions 524 to 776 of the family's 1533-position model. The record is from RNAcentral.